UGAGGAAUAUUGGUCAAUGGACGAGAGUCUGAACCAGCCAAGUAGCGUGCAGGAUGACGGCCCUAUGGGUUGUAAACUGCUUUUGUUUGGGAAUAAUCGACAUUACGUGUAAUGUUUUGCAUGUACCAUUCGCAUAAGGACCGGCUAAUUCCGUGCCAGCAGCCGCGGUAAUACGGAAGGUCCAGGCGUUAUCCGGAUUUAUUGGGUUUAAAGGGAGUGUAGGCGGUUGGUUAAGCGUGUUGUGAAAUGUAGAUGUUCAACAUCUGACUUGCAGCGCGAACUGGCUGACUUGAGUACACACAACGUAGGCGGAAUUCAUGGUGUAGCGGUGAAAUGCUUAGAUAUCAUGAAGAACUCCGAUUGCGAAGGCAGCUUACGGGAGUGUUACUGACGCUUAAGCUCGAAGGUGCGGGUAUCGAACAGG
This 424-nucleotide ribosomal RNA is filed under the name Verrucomicrobiota bacterium. Its description in RNAcentral is "Verrucomicrobia bacterium partial 16S ribosomal RNA". It matches the Rfam family "Bacterial small subunit ribosomal RNA", at positions 355 to 776 of the family's 1533-position model. The record is from RNAcentral. Lineage: Bacteria; Pseudomonadati; Verrucomicrobiota.